This is a long non-coding RNA of Pygoscelis adeliae (Adelie penguin), 1014 nucleotides long. RefSeq lists it as uncharacterized. The transcript is spliced from 3 exons. Lineage: Eukaryota; Metazoa; Chordata; Aves; Sphenisciformes; Spheniscidae. The record is from RefSeq and is a predicted model, not a curated record.
GCAGCGUCCCUUCUCUAGCAGCAGGUCUUCUCUUUGGUGGCUUAGCAGGACUAGGUGCCUACCAGCAGUCCAAAGAUCCAAGGAAUGUGUGGCUUUCCCUCGUGGCGUCUGGAACCUUGUCUGCUGUUAUGGGAAUGAGAUUUUACAACUCCAGAAAAGCAAUGCCGGGGAUAAUUGCUGGUGCCAGUUUACUGAUGGUUGGACGGCUUGGAUUGCAGAUGAUGGAAAAGCCUCUUAAGCCGUAAGUCUGCAUCAAGUCCCUUGAAGAUACGUGAUUUGAGAAGCCUGAAAAUGCAACUGCCUAAAUGUGCUACACAAAAGUGGAAAAGGCACUGCUGUCUAUGCAUUGUAUUUUUCAUAUCCUAAUGCAUGUGGGUUGUGUUUUUAAAGGACCGACACCGAGAUCCCUGUUAUGUCUUCCAGAAUGGUAUUUGUCUUAACAUUUUCUGCACUGUGAAGCAAGAAAAUAUGAGUAUAGCAUUAGUUUGGCUUCUGGUCCUGCAACUUACUGCAGGCAAAGACCUCUUGGCACUUGAAUACAGACAGUUGCAGGACCGAAGCGUAAAUGUACAUCUGGACUUGUCAUUCUAAAAUCAUCUAUACCUCUAAAACGAGGAGAGAGGAGUUGCCAAUUCCUCACUAGUAAUUAAUAUAACAAACAUGCUUAUUACGUCACCUCUCCCCUUCCACUUCCCUGCCAGUUUAUCCGGUCAUCAUGUUUGUCAGUCAGGGACUUUGUUCUCCCAGCACUGUGCGUUAGAACCUGGUCCCACAAAACACAAUCACGGAGCAGGCCGUCAAGGUUCUGCUGUAAUGCAAUGAAGGCAAACCUGUUACUUGCAAUUACUUGUAAGCAAAAGUGCCCAGCUAAAUGUCAUCAUUUCACUUUUACAGAUUAUCAUUCAUAAAUCAAAAAUAUGCUUUAUUAGAUAAUGCUGAACUGUAGGCAUAGCUCUUGCAAUUCAUGAGAAUUAAAAUGUUAUUCUAAAUAAACCAACAAAUUAUUAUUACAAA